RNAcentral lists this ribosomal RNA (282 nucleotides) under Triticum aestivum (bread wheat). RNAcentral describes it as "partial small subunit ribosomal RNA". Lineage: Eukaryota; Viridiplantae; Streptophyta; Magnoliopsida; Poales; Poaceae. The record is from RNAcentral.
AUGAAAAAGAAAGGAGGUAGAUUUUUUUUGGAUUUAUGGUUAAAGAAGAAAAAGAAGAAAACAGGGGUUCUGUUGAAUUUCAAGUAUUCAGUCGUGGAAUGCUUUUGUUCUCCACGGAGACUUUCUUCACAUUUGGAAUUACACAAAAAAGAUUUUUCAUCGGAAAGAGGUCUACGAAGAAUUUUGGGAAAACGUCGAUGUUUGCUGGCUUAUUUGGCAAAGAAAAGGCUACGCCUUGAACCGCUCGGCCAUCUCUCCUACAUAACUUAUUAUGGAAAAUAA